RNA transcript from Nycticebus coucang (slow loris), 799 nucleotides. RefSeq lists it as uncharacterized. The record is from RefSeq and is a predicted model, not a curated record. The transcript has a single exon. NCBI's taxonomy places the organism in Eukaryota, Metazoa, Chordata, Mammalia, Primates, Lorisidae.
AUGCAAAUACUUGAAUCCAGCAGGCCAAUAAUGAAAUGUGAACACUUUCUAAGUCUAAUUCUACACUUCCAGGUUGACAUCAGUACACAGAAACAGGCUCUAGGAAAAUUUCUAAGUUCAUUGCCUAUGUGUGUGUGUUGAAAUAGAACUCUGUGUGUGUGUGUGUGUGUGCGCGCGCACACGUGCGCGCACGAUGUGUGCUUCUGCACAGCGCACAUUCUGUGUUGGUGUGUUUGAAAGCGUGUGAGGGAUUUAACUGUGGGUUUCCCUUUUAUUCAGUAUAUGCUUCUUUUUGGCGCAUUGGUCAAAUGUUUGUUAUUAUUAUUAGCUUCUAACUUUGCACUGAGUGUCCCUGCCCUCCCUUCAGCUAAUCCUAUAGUUAAAGAGAAUUCAUAGGACAGGGCUGGUGACAAUUCAUGUGUAAAUGUUUACUCAAGGACUCUGUUAUUGCGUUUAAAAAUUACAGUGUAUAUCUCUGGAGAAAUAAUAUGUAUACCUACCUUUAGCAGCUUUUUAUUGUGGACUAAUGCAAGAAAAUUAUUACCAGAGUAUUGCACCAGUUUUCAAUUUGGAAUAUAAAGUUAAAGAGAAAAAAAACUGUUGUUGAACUGUGGCCAUAGAUACUUGUAAAGAAUGGAUGGUUCCUCGGAAGGAACAGAAACAAGCACUUGGACAUGGGUUGUGACUGCUUUUGGAGGAGUCCAUGGUUUGGGCUCCCACCUGUUUACAGACCUUUUUUCUUCUUCAGACUUUAAAUUAAAAAAAAAAAAAAAAUUAAAAAGGAAUUAAAAAAAAAAAA